GGGGGGGUAGUUCAGUUGGUUAGAAUACCGGCCUGUCACGCCGGGGGUCGCGGGUUCGAGUCCCGUCCACUCCG
This 74-nucleotide transfer RNA is filed under the name Gallaecimonas xiamenensis 3-C-1. Its description in RNAcentral is "Gallaecimonas sp. 3-C-1 tRNA". It matches the Rfam family "tRNA". Rfam says of the family: Transfer RNA (tRNA) molecules are approximately 80 nucleotides in length. Their secondary structure includes four short double-helical elements and three loops (D, anti-codon, and T loops). Lineage: Bacteria; Pseudomonadati; Pseudomonadota; Gammaproteobacteria; Enterobacterales; Gallaecimonadaceae. The record is from Rfam by way of RNAcentral.